GACGAACGCUGGCGGCGCGCCUAACACAUGCAAGUCGAACGGAGCUGAGAGAAGCUUGCUUUUCUUAGCUUAGUGGCGAACGGGUGAGUAACGCGUGAGUAACCUGCCCUGGAGUGGGGGACAACAGUUGGAAACGACUGCUAAUACCGCAUAAGCCCACGAUCCGGCAUCGGAUUGAGGGAAAAGGAUUUAUUCGCUUCAGGAUGGACUCGCGUCCAAUUAGCUAGUUGGUGAGGUAACGGCCCACCAAGGCGACGAUUGGUAGCCGGACUGAGAGGUUGAACGGCAACAUUGGGACUGAGACACGGCCCAGACUCAUACGGGAGGCAGCAGUGGGGGAUAUUGCACAAUGGGGGAAACCCUGAUGCAGCGACGCCGCGUGGAGGAAGAAGGUUUUCGGAUUGUAAACUCCUGUCGUUAGGGACGAUAAUGACGGUACCUAACAAGAAAGCACCGGCUAACUACGUG
RNAcentral lists this ribosomal RNA (468 nucleotides) under uncultured bacterium. RNAcentral's name for it is "partial 16S ribosomal RNA". It matches the Rfam family "Bacterial small subunit ribosomal RNA", at positions 28 to 507 of the family's 1533-position model. The record is from RNAcentral.